Molecule: ribosomal RNA, 496 nt
Filed under: uncultured bacterium
Lineage: Bacteria
Description: partial 16S ribosomal RNA
Rfam family: Bacterial small subunit ribosomal RNA
Source: RNAcentral
GAUGAACGCUGGCGGCGUGCCUAAUACAUGCAAGUCGAGCGAACGGACGAGAAGCUUGCUUCUCUGAUGUUAGCGGCGGACGGGUGAUUAACACGUGGAUAACCUACCUAUAAGACUGGGAUAACUUCGGGAAACCGGAGCUAAUACCGGAUAAUAUUUUGAACCGCAUGGUUCAAAAGUGAAAGACGGUCUUGCUGUCACUUAUAGAUGGAUCCGCGCUGCAUUAGCUAGUUGGUAAGGUAACGGCUUACCAAGGCAACGAUGCAUAGCCGACCUGAGAGGGUGAUCGGCCACACUGGAACUGAGACACGGUCCAGACUCCUACGGGAGGCAGCAGUAGGGAAUCUUCCGCAAUGGGCGAAAGCCUGACGGAGCAACGCCGCGUGAGUGAUGAAGGUCUUCGGAUCGUAAAACUCUGUUAUUAGGGAAGAACAUAUGUGUAAGUAACUGUGCACAUCUUGACGGUACCUAAUCAGAAAGCCACGGCUAACUACGU